RNAcentral lists this ribosomal RNA (592 nucleotides) under Debaryomyces hansenii. RNAcentral's name for it is "LSU rRNA". It matches the Rfam family "Eukaryotic large subunit ribosomal RNA", at positions 65 to 672 of the family's 3401-position model. Lineage: Eukaryota; Fungi; Ascomycota; Pichiomycetes; Serinales; Debaryomycetaceae. The record is from RNAcentral.
CCAACGGGGNAUUGCCUUAGUACGGCGAGUGAAGCGGCAAAAGCUCAAAUUUGAAAUCUGGCACCUUCGGUGUCCGACCUUUUAUAUGAAGAAGGUAACUUUGGAGUUGGCUCUUGUCUAUCUUUCUUGGAACAGGACGUCACAGAGGGUGAGAAUCCCGUGCGAUGAGAUGCCCAAUUCUAUGUAAAGUGCUUUCGAAGAGUCGAGUUGUUUGGGAAUGCAGCUCUAAGUGGGUGGUAAAUUCCAUCUAAAGCUAAAUAUUGGCGAGAGACCGAUAGCGAACAAGUACAGUGAUGGAAAGAUGAAAAGAACUUUGAAAAGAGAGUGAAAAAGUACGUGAAAUUGUUGAAAGGGAAGGGCUUGAGAUCAGACUUGGUAUUUUGCGAUCCUUUCCUUCUUGGUUGGGUUCCUCGCAGCUUACUGGGCCAGCAUCGGUUUGGAUGGUAGGAUAAUGACUAAGGAAUGUGGCUCUACUUCGGUGGAGUGUUAUAGCCUUGGUUGAUACUGCCUGUCUAGACCGAGGACUGCGUCUUUUGACUAGGAUGUUGGCAUAAUGAUCUUAAGCCACCCGUCUUGAAACACGGACCAAAAA